GAUGAACGCUGGCGGCGUGCCUAAUACAUGCAAGUCGAGCGAACAGACGAGGAGCUUGCUCCUCUGACGUUAGCGGCGGACGGGUGAGUAACACGUGGAUAACCUACCUAUAAGACUGGGAUAACUUCGGGAAACCGGAGCUAAUACCGGAUAAUAUAUUGAACCGCAUGGUUCAAUAGUGAAAGACGGUUUUGCUGUCACUUAUAGAUGGAUCCGCGCCGCAUUAGCUAGUUGGUAAGGUAACGGCUUACCAAGGCAACGAUGCGUAGCCGACCUGAGAGGGUGAUCAGCCACACUGGAACUGAGACACGGUCCAGACUCCUACGGGAGGCAGCAGUAGGGAAUCUUCCGCAAUGGGCGAAAGCCUGACGGAGCAACGCCGCGUGAGUGAUGAAGGUCUUCGGAUCGUAAAACUCUGUUAUUAGGGAAGAACAAAUGUGUGAGUAACUAUGCACGUCUUGACGGUACCUAAUCAGAAAGCCACGGCUAACUACGUG
RNAcentral lists this ribosomal RNA (497 nucleotides) under uncultured bacterium. RNAcentral's name for it is "partial 16S ribosomal RNA". It matches the Rfam family "Bacterial small subunit ribosomal RNA", at positions 28 to 507 of the family's 1533-position model. The record is from RNAcentral.